GGACGAACGCUGGCGGCGUGCCUAACACAUGCAAGUCGAGCGGGGACAUGCGACGGAUCGGAAGUUUCGGAUGGAAGAGAAGAUGUAUGUUCUAGCGGCGGACGGGUGAGUAACGCGUGAGCAACCUGUCCCUUACAGGGGGAUAACACAGCGAAAGUUGUACUAAUACCGCAUAAGACCACGGGGAGACAUCUUCCAGGGGUCAAAGGAGCAAUCCGGUAAGGGUGGGCUCGCGUCCGAUUAGAUAGUUGGUGAGGUAACGGCCCACCAAGUCGACGAUCGGUAGCCGACCUGAGAGGGUCGAUCGGCCACAUUGGGACUGAGACACGGCCCAAACUCCUACGGGAGGCAGCAGUGGGGAAUAUUGCACAAUGGGCGAAAGCCUGAUGCAGCGACGCCCGCGUGAGCGAAGAAGUAUUUCGGUAUGUAAAGCUCUAUCAGCAGGGAAGAUAAUGACGGUACCUGACUAAGAAGCACCGGCUAAAUACGUGCCAGCAGCUGC
RNAcentral lists this ribosomal RNA (502 nucleotides) under uncultured bacterium. RNAcentral describes it as "bacterial SSU rRNA". It matches the Rfam family "Bacterial small subunit ribosomal RNA", at positions 27 to 518 of the family's 1533-position model. The record is from RNAcentral.